UAAGAAUGAGGAAAGGCCUUGAUUUCUUGUCAAACAGAUUAAAAAGUGGUCUUAGUAUUAGAAAGACAAGAAGAAAAAGACUCCCUGACAACUAAUAACAACACAUUUCAAAUUGGAUAAUGUCGUCGUCGUCUCCCCCACUCUCGAGCUAAAGUCACCUAUCCCAGCUCUUAUUGACACCCACCCACCGGAUAGCCAUUAAAAAGUAGUUGACAUUUAGUCAGUUCGCCCUGGCUGGACCAAAUCUGAACCAAUCACAGACCGUACAGAACAGUAGAGCACUAGAGUAUAAUGUACUGUACAAAAUGGUCAAACAUGGACUUCUAUGAUUGGUUCAGAUGUGGUCUGGCCCGGACCAACCAAAUGUUGUCUUGUUUGAGGGCAGGGUGCAUUAGAAUACUGAAAUACACUAAAUAAGGAUAUUGCAUAUUUCCACCUUUGUUUAUUUAAUUUAUCAGAUGCUCAGACAUCUUCAGAUAGCUAGGUGGACCAGUCAUAGUCAGUACAUUCAUCUACAGAUAGCUAGGUGGACCAGUCAUAGUCAGUACAUUCAUCUCCAGAUAGCUAGGUGGACCAGUCAUAGUCAGUACAUUCAUCUCCAGAUAGCUAGGUGGACCAGUCAUAGUCAGUACAUUCAUCUACAGAUAGCUAGGUGGACCAGUCAUAGUCAGUACAUUCAUCUCCAGAUAGCUAGGUGGACCAGUCAUAGUCAGUACAUUCAUCUCCAGAUAGCUAGGUGGACCAGUCAUAGUCAGUACAUUCAUCUCCAGAUAGCUAGGUGGACCAGUCAUAGUCAGUACAUUCAUCUCCAGAUAGCUAGGUGGACCAGUCAUAGUCAGUACAUUCAUCUCCAGAUAGCUAGGUGGACCAGUCAUAGUCAGUACAUUCAUCUACAGAUAGCUAGGUGGACCAGUCAUAGUCAGUACAUUCAUCUCCAGAUAGCUAGGUGGACCAGUCAUAGUCAGUACAUUCAUCUCCAGAUAGCUAGGUGGACCAGUCAUAGUCAGUACAUUCAUCUCCAGAUAGCUAGGUGGACCAGUCAUAGUCAGUACAUUCAUCUACAGAUAGCUAGGUGGACCAGUCAUAGUCAGUACAUUCAUCUCCAGAUAGCUAGGUGGACCAGUCAUAGUCAGUACAUUCAUCUCCAGAUAGCUAGGUGGACCAGUCAUAGUCAGUACAUUCAUCUACAGAUAGCUAGGUGGACCAGUCAUAGUCAGUACAUUCAUCUCCAGAUAGCUAGGUGGACCAGUCAUAGUCAGUACAUUCAUCUCCAGAUAGCUAGGUGGACCAGUCAUAGUCAGUACAUUCAUCUCCAGAUAGCUAGGUGGACCAGUCAUAGUCAGGACAUUCAUCUCCAGAUAGCUAGGUGGACCAGUCAUAGUCAGUACAUUCAUCUCCAGAUAGCUAGAUGGACCAGUCAUAGUCAGUACAUUCAUCUCCAGAUAGCUAGGUGGACCAGUCAUAGUCAGGACAUUCAUCUCCAGAUAGCUAGGUGGACCAGUCAUAGUCAGUACAUUCAUCUUCAGAUAGCUAGGUGGACCAGUCAUAGUCAGUACAUUCAUCUUCAGAUAGUCAGUACAUUCAUCUCCAGAUAGCUAGGUGGACCAGUCAUAGUCAGUACAUUCAUCUUCAGAUAGCUAGGUGGACCAGUCAUAGUCAGUACAUUAAUCUUCAGAUAGCAAGGUGGACCAGUCAUAGUCAGUACAUUCAUCUACAGAUAGCUAGGUGGACCAGUCAUAGUCAGUACAUUCAUCUACAGAUAGCUAGGUGGACCAGUCAUAGUCAGUACAUUCAUCUACAGAUAGCUAGGUGGACCAGUCAUAGUCAGUACAUUCAUCUACAGAUAGCUAGGUGGACCAGUCAUAGUCAGUACAUUCAUCUUCAGAUAGCUAGGUGGACCAGUCAUAGCCAGUACAUUCAUCUUCAGAUAGCUAGGUGAGACAACCACAUAUCACAAUAUUUAAAUUUUUCUUCAAUAAAGUACAGUCAGAGCUAGGAAGAGGAGAAAGUCAAGUGUUAGUUAAUGGAAGGAACAUUAUUUUUGGGGGGUGAGGAGGAUGUUGUGGAACUGGUCCACCUAGUUGUGGA
This is an RNA transcript of Oncorhynchus keta (chum salmon), 2088 nucleotides long. It is a transcript of the gene named involucrin-like, with no coding region annotated. The transcript is spliced from 4 exons. NCBI's taxonomy places the organism in Eukaryota, Metazoa, Chordata, Actinopteri, Salmoniformes, Salmonidae. The record is from RefSeq and is a predicted model, not a curated record.